RNAcentral lists this ribosomal RNA (253 nucleotides) under uncultured bacterium. RNAcentral's name for it is "partial 16S ribosomal RNA". It matches the Rfam family "Bacterial small subunit ribosomal RNA", at positions 524 to 776 of the family's 1533-position model. The record is from RNAcentral.
GACAGAGGGUGCAAACGUUGCUCGGAAUUACUGGGCGUAAAGGGCGCGUAGGCGGCGCUCCAAGUUAGGCGUGAAAGCCCCGGGCUCAACCUGGGGAUUGCGCUUAAGACUGGAGUGCUCGAGUGCGGAAGAGGUGAGUGGAAUUCCCAGUGUAGAGGUGAAAUUCGUAGAUAUUGGGAAGAACACCAGUGGCGAAGGCGGCUCACUGGUCCGCAACUGACGCUGAGGCGCGAAAGCGUGGGGAGCAAACAGG